UGGAGAUACUCAAAUGUGUGCAAGAGGCUCAAUGAGUGUGAAGGAAUCAACCCCAAACUGUUGUGCUCUCACAAAACCCUAAACUUGGAUGAAGAGGUUAUGCAAAAAUGAUGGAGAAAGGAUUUUUAGGAAGAAGGGUGAAGGGAAAAGUGAGGAGAGUGCUUGGGAGAGUGAUUGAGAGUGCUUGGGAAGAAUGGAGAAUGAAAGUGGCGGCCAAAACGUGCCCUAGGGUUUAAAAGGUGCUUAAUGGGCCAACCCACGCUGAGCCCAAAGUUUUAAAAACCAGAAACCCAUUCUGCAGUAACGCUGCUCAACGCCAGGUUACAGUUGAGCGGUAAUCGUGGCCUCAAUUAUCCUUCUUCCUAGCUUACUCUAAGUGCUCUUGACCAAGGCCCCUCAAUUUUAACUCUCAAAUUUUCGAAUCUCAUGC
This 430-nucleotide long non-coding RNA is filed under the name Vigna radiata. RNAcentral describes it as "long non-coding RNA (VRAD_LNC008560)". Lineage: Eukaryota; Viridiplantae; Streptophyta; Magnoliopsida; Fabales; Fabaceae. The record is from RNAcentral.